This 2992-nucleotide ribosomal RNA is filed under the name Salmonella enterica. Its description in RNAcentral is "23S ribosomal RNA". It matches the Rfam family "Bacterial large subunit ribosomal RNA". Lineage: Bacteria; Pseudomonadati; Pseudomonadota; Gammaproteobacteria; Enterobacterales; Enterobacteriaceae. The record is from RNAcentral.
GGUUAAGCGACUAAGCGUACACGGUGGAUGCCCUGGCAGUCAGAGGCGAUGAAGGGCGUGCUAAUCUGCGAUAAGCGCCGGUAAGGUGAUAUGAACCGUUAUAACCGGCGAUUUCCGAAUGGGGAAACCCAGUGUGAUUCGUCACACUAUCAUUAACUGAAUCCAUAGGUUAAUGAGGCGAACCGGGGGAACUGAAACAUCUAAGUACCCCGAGGAAAAGAAAUCAACCGAGAUUCCCCCAGUAGCGGCGAGCGAACGGGGAGGAGCCCAGAGCCUGAAUCAGCAUGUGUGUUAGUGGAAGCGUCUGGAAAGGCGCGCGAUACAGGGUGACAGCCCCGUACACAAAAGCGCAUGUGCUGUGAGCUCGAUGAGUAGGGCGGGACACGUGGUAUCCUGUCUGAAUAUGGGGGGACCAUCCUCCAAGGCUAAAUACUCCUGACUGACCGAUAGUGAACCAGUACCGUGAGGGAAAGGCGAAAAGAACCCCGGCGAGGGGAGUGAAAAAGAACCUGAAACCGUGUACGUACAAGCAGUGGGAGCACAGGUUUACCUGUGUGACUGCGUACCUUUUGUAUAAUGGGUCAGCGACUUAUAUUCUGUAGCAAGGUUAACCGUAUAGGGGAGCCGUAGGGAAACCGAGUCUUAACCGGGCGUUAAGUUGCAGGGUAUAGACCCGAAACCCGGUGAUCUAGCCAUGGGCAGGUUGAAGGUUGGGUAACACUAACUGGAGGACCGAACCGACUAAUGUUGAAAAAUUAGCGGAUGACCUGUGGCUGGGGGUGAAAGGCCAAUCAAACCGGGAGAUAGCUGGUUCUCCCCGAAAGCUAUUUAGGUAGCGCCUCGUGAAUUCAUCUCCGGGGGUAGAGCACUGUUUCGGCUAGGGGGCCAUCCCGGCUUACCAACCCGAUGCAAACUGCGAAUACCGGAGAAUGUUAUCACGGGAGACACACGGCGGGUGCUAACGUCCGUCGUGAAGAGGGAAACAACCCAGACCGCCAGCUAAGGUCCCAAAGUCAUGGUUAAGUGGGAAACGAUGUGGGAAGGCCCAGACAGCCAGGAUGUUGGCUUAGAAGCAGCCAUCAUUUAAAGAAAGCGUAAUAGCUCACUGGUCGAGUCGGCCUGCGCGGAAGAUGUAACGGGGCUAAACCAUGCACCGAAGCUGCGGCAGCGAACGUAUCACCCAAGACAACUUUACGGAGUUGACGAUUGACGGAGCGAAGCGACGUCAAAGCGUUCAUUAAAGUCGAGUUGGCUUAGGGAUACGUUCGUUGGGUAGGGGAGCGUUCUGUAAGCCUGUGAAGGUGUGUCGUGAGGCAUGCUGGAGGUAUCAGAAGUGCGAAUGCUGACAUAAGUAACGAUAAAGCGGGUGAAAAGCCCGCUCGCCGGAAGACCAAGGGUUCCUGUCCAACGUUAAUCGGGGCAGGGUGAGUCGACCCCUAAGGCGAGGCCGAAAGGCGUAGUCGAUGGGAAACGGGUUAAUAUUCCCGUACUUGGUGUUACUGCGAAGGGGGGACGGAGAAGGCUAUGUUGGCCGGGCGACGGUUGUCCCGGUUUAAGCGUGUAGGUGUGUGUUCCAGGUAAAUCCGGUUCACUUUAACACUGAGGCGUGACGACGAGGCACUACGGUGCUGAAGCAACAAAUGCCCUGCUUCCAGGAAAAGCCUCUAAGCAUCAGGUAACACGAAAUCGUACCCCAAACCGACACAGGUGGUCAGGUAGAGAAUACCAAGGCGCUUGAGAGAACUCGGGUGAAGGAACUAGGCAAAAUGGUGCCGUAACUUCGGGAGAAGGCACGCUGACACGUAGGUGAAGUGAUUUACUCAUGGAGCUGAAGUCAGUCGAAGAUACCAGCUGGCUGCAACUGUUUAUUAAAAACACAGCACUGUGCAAACACGAAAGUGGACGUAUACGGUGUGACGCCUGCCCGGUGCCGGAAGGUUAAUUGAUGGGGUCAGCGCAAGCGAAGCUCCUGAUCGAAGCCCCGGUAAACGGCGGCCGUAACUAUAACGGUCCUAAGGUAGCGAAAUUCCUUGUCGGGUAAGUUCCGACCUGCACGAAUGGCGUAAUGAUGGCCAGGCUGUCUCCACCCGAGACUCAGUGAAAUUGAACUCGCUGUGAAGAUGCAGUGUACCCGCGGCAAGACGGAAAGACCCCGUGAACCUUUACUAUAGCUUGACACUGAACAUUGAGCCUUGAUGUGUAGGAUAGGUGGGAGGCUUUGAAGUGUGGACGCCAGUCUGCAUGGAGCCGACCUUGAAAUACCACCCUUUAAUGUUUGAUGUUCUAACGUGGACCCGUAAUCCGGGUUGCGGACAGUGUCUGGUGGGUAGUUUGACUGGGGCGGUCUCCUCCUAAAGAGUAACGGAGGAGCACGAAGGUUGGCUAAUCCUGGUCGGACAUCAGGAGGUUAGUGCAAUGGCAUAAGCCAGCUUGACUGCGAGCGUGACGGCGCGAGCAGGUGCGAAAGCAGGUCAUAGUGAUCCGGUGGUUCUGAAUGGAAGGGCCAUCGCUCAACGGAUAAAAGGUACUCCGGGGAUAACAGGCUGAUACCGCCCAAGAGUUCAUAUCGACGGCGGUGUUUGGCACCUCGAUGUCGGCUCAUCACAUCCUGGGGCUGAAGUAGGUCCCAAGGGUAUGGCUGUUCGCCAUUUAAAGUGGUACGCGAGCUGGGUUUAGAACGUCGUGAGACAGUUCGGUCCCUAUCUGCCGUGGGCGCUGGAGAACUGAGGGGGGCUGCUCCUAGUACGAGAGGACCGGAGUGGACGCAUCACUGGUGUUCGGGUUGUCAUGCCAAUGGCACUGCCCGGUAGCUAAAUGCGGAAGAGAUAAGUGCUGAAAGCAUCUAAGCACGAAACUUGCCCCGAGAUGAGUUCUCCCUGAGACUUAGAGUCUCCUGAAGGAACGUUGAAGACGACGACGUUGAUAGGCCGGGUGUGUAAGCGCAGCGAUGCGUUGAGCUAACCGGUACUAAUGAACCGUGAGGCUUAACCUU